Molecule: ribosomal RNA, 304 nt
Filed under: Platymachaerota elevata
Lineage: Eukaryota; Metazoa; Arthropoda; Insecta; Hemiptera; Machaerotidae
Description: partial 12S ribosomal RNA
Source: RNAcentral
UUAAGAUCCUAAAAUUCAAAGAAUUUGGCGGUAGUUAAGUCUUUUUAGAGGAACCUGUUCUGUAAUUGAUAAUCCACGAUUGAUUUUACUUUAUUUUAAUUUGUAUAUCUCUGUCAAUGAAUGUAUUAAUAGAUUUAUUUUCUUUAUUUUUUGUAAAUUGAUGUUAGGUCAAGGUGCAGUUUUAUUAAAGUAGAAAUGGGUUACAAUAAUAAUUUAUUGGAUUUUUGUUUGGAAAAAUAAAUUUAAAUUGGAUUUAAAAGUAAUUUUGUUUAGUAUAAAUGAUAUGAUUUUGGCUCUUAAUUAU